This 1552-nucleotide ribosomal RNA is filed under the name Escherichia coli. RNAcentral describes it as "bacterial SSU rRNA". It matches the Rfam family "Bacterial small subunit ribosomal RNA". The record is from RNAcentral. RNAcentral also lists the same sequence under 4 other names. Lineage: Bacteria; Pseudomonadati; Pseudomonadota; Gammaproteobacteria; Enterobacterales; Enterobacteriaceae.
AAAUUGAAGAGUUUGAUCAUGGCUCAGAUUGAACGCUGGCGGCAGGCCUAACACAUGCAAGUCGAACGGUAACAGGAAGCAGCUUGCUGCUUUGCUGACGAGUGGCGGACGGGUGAGUAAUGUCUGGGAAACUGCCUGAUGGAGGGGGAUAACUACUGGAAACGGUAGCUAAUACCGCAUAACGUCGCAAGACCAAAGAGGGGGACCUUCGGGCCUCUUGCCAUCGGAUGUGCCCAGAUGGGAUUAGCUAGUAGGUGGGGUAACGGCUCACCUAGGCGACGAUCCCUAGCUGGUCUGAGAGGAUGACCAGCCACACUGGAACUGAGACACGGUCCAGACUCCUACGGGAGGCAGCAGUGGGGAAUAUUGCACAAUGGGCGCAAGCCUGAUGCAGCCAUGCCGCGUGUAUGAAGAAGGCCUUCGGGUUGUAAAGUACUUUCAGCGGGGAGGAAGGGAGUAAAGUUAAUACCUUUGCUCAUUGACGUUACCCGCAGAAGAAGCACCGGCUAACUCCGUGCCAGCAGCCGCGGUAAUACGGAGGGUGCAAGCGUUAAUCGGAAUUACUGGGCGUAAAGCGCACGCAGGCGGUUUGUUAAGUCAGAUGUGAAAUCCCCGGGCUCAACCUGGGAACUGCAUCUGAUACUGGCAAGCUUGAGUCUCGUAGAGGGGGGUAGAAUUCCAGGUGUAGCGGUGAAAUGCGUAGAGAUCUGGAGGAAUACCGGUGGCGAAGGCGGCCCCCUGGACGAAGACUGACGCUCAGGUGCGAAAGCGUGGGGAGCAAACAGGAUUAGAUACCCUGGUAGUCCACGCCGUAAACGAUGUCGACUUGGAGGUUGUGCCCUUGAGGCGUGGCUUCCGGAGCUAACGCGUUAAGUCGACCGCCUGGGGAGUACGGCCGCAAGGUUAAAACUCAAAUGAAUUGACGGGGGCCCGCACAAGCGGUGGAGCAUGUGGUUUAAUUCGAUGCAACGCGAAGAACCUUACCUGGUCUUGACAUCCACAGAACUUUCCAGAGAUGGAUUGGUGCCUUCGGGAACUGUGAGACAGGUGCUGCAUGGCUGUCGUCAGCUCGUGUUGUGAAAUGUUGGGUUAAGUCCCGCAACGAGCGCAACCCUUAUCCUUUGUUGCCAGCGGUCCGGCCGGGAACUCAAAGGAGACUGCCAGUGAUAAACUGGAGGAAGGUGGGGAUGACGUCAAGUCAUCAUGGCCCUUACGACCAGGGCUACACACGUGCUACAAUGGCGCAUACAAAGAGAAGCGACCUCGCGAGAGCAAGCGGACCUCAUAAAGUGCGUCGUAGUCCGGAUUGGAGUCUGCAACUCGACUCCAUGAAGUCGGAAUCGCUAGUAAUCGUGGAUCAGAAUGCCACGGUGAAUACGUUCCCGGGCCUUGUACACACCGCCCGUCACACCAUGGGAGUGGGUUGCAAAAGAAGUAGGUAGCUUAACCUUCGGGAGGGCGCUUACCACUUUGUGAUUCAUGACUGGGGUGAAGUCGUAACAAGGUAACCGUAGGGGAACCUGCGGUUGGAUCACCUCCUUACCUUAAAGAA